This 671-nucleotide ribosomal RNA is filed under the name uncultured Vibrionaceae bacterium. Its description in RNAcentral is "bacterial SSU rRNA". It matches the Rfam family "Bacterial small subunit ribosomal RNA", at positions 8 to 671 of the family's 1533-position model. Lineage: Bacteria; Pseudomonadati; Pseudomonadota; Gammaproteobacteria; Vibrionales; Vibrionaceae. The record is from RNAcentral.
AGAGUUUGAUCAUGGCUCAGAUUGAACGCUGGCGGCAGGCCUAACACAUGCAAGUCGAGCGGAAACGAGAAUAGCUUGCUAUUCGGCGUCGAGCGGCGGACGGGUGAGUAAUGCCUGGGAAAUUGCCCUGAUGUGGGGGAUAACCAUUGGAAACGAUGGCUAAUACCGCAUAAUAGCUUCGGCUUAAAGAGGGGGACCUUCGGGCCUCUCGCUUCAGGAUAUGCCCAGGUGGGAUUAGCUAGUUGGUGAGGUAAAGGCUCACCAAGGCGACGAUCCCUAGCUGGUCUGAGAGGAUGAUCAGCCACACUGGAACUGAGACACGGUCCAGACUCCUACGGGAGGCAGCAGUGGAGAAUAUUGCACAAUGGGCGCAAGCCUGAUGCAGCCAUGCCGCGUGUAUGAAGAAGGCCUUCGGGUUGUAAAGUACUUUCAGCAGUGAGGAAGGGUGUGUAGUAAUAGCUGCAUACUUUGACGUUAGCUGCAGAAGAAGCACCGGCUAACUCCGUGCCAGCAGCCGCGGUAAUACGGAGGGUGCGAGCGUUAAUCGGAAUUACUGGGCGUAAAGCGCAUGCAGGUGGUUUGUUAAGUCAGAUGUGAAAGCCCGGGGCUCAACCUCGGAACCGCAUUUGAAACUGGCAGGCUAGAGUACUGUAGAGGGGGGUAGAAUUUCA